GAUGAACGCUGGCGGCGUGCCUAAUACAUGCAAGUCGAGCGAACAGACGAGGAGUUUGCUCCUCUGACGUUAGCGGCGGACGGGUGAGUAACACGUGGAUAACCUACCUAUAAGACUGGGAUAACUUCGGGAAACCGGAGCUAAUACCGGAUAAUAUAUUGAACCGCAUGGUUCAAUAGUGAAAGACGGUUUUGCUGUCACUUAUAGAUGGAUCCGCGCCGCAUUAGCUAGUUGGUAAGGUAACGGCUUACCAAGGCAACGAUGCGUAGCCGACCUGAGAGGGUGAUCGGCCACACUGGAACUGAGACACGGUCCAGACUCCUACGGGAGGCAGCAGUAGGGAAUCUUCCGCAAUGGGCGAAAGCCUGACGGGGCAACGCCGCGUGAGUGAUGAAGGUCUUCGGAUCGUAAAACUCUGUUAUUAGGGAAGAACAAAUGUGUAAGUAACUAUGCACGUCUUGACGGUACCUAAUCAGAAGGCCACGGCUAACUACGUG
Molecule: ribosomal RNA, 497 nt
Filed under: uncultured bacterium
Lineage: Bacteria
Description: partial 16S ribosomal RNA
Rfam family: Bacterial small subunit ribosomal RNA
Source: RNAcentral